UACGUAGGGCGCAAGCGUUAUCCGGAAUUAUUGGGCGUAAAGAGCUCGUAGGCGGUUUGUCGCGUCUGCUGUGAAAGUCCGGGGCUCAACUCCGGAUCUGCGGUGGGUACGGGCAGACUAGAGUGAUGUAGGGGAGACUGGAAUUCCUGGUGUAGCGGUGAAAUGCGCAGAUAUCAGGAGGAACACCGAUGGCGAAGGCAGGUCUCUGGGCAUUAACUGACGCUGAGGAGCGAAAGCAUGGGGAGCAAACAGG
RNAcentral lists this ribosomal RNA (253 nucleotides) under uncultured bacterium. Its description in RNAcentral is "partial 16S ribosomal RNA". It matches the Rfam family "Bacterial small subunit ribosomal RNA", at positions 524 to 776 of the family's 1533-position model. The record is from RNAcentral.